UACGGAGGGUGCGAGCGUUAUCCGGAAUUACUGGGUUUAAAGGGUGCGUAGGCGGCUAAGUAAGUCAGGAGUGAAAGUUUGCGGCUCAACCGUAAAAUUGCUUUUGAUACUGCAUAGCUAGAAUUAGGAUGAGGUCAGCGGAAUGUGGCAUGUAGCGGUGAAAUGCAUAGAUAUGCCAUAGAACACCAAUUGCGAAGGCAGCUGGCUAGACCUGGAUUGACGCUGAGGCACGAAAGCGUGGGGAGCGAACAGG
Molecule: ribosomal RNA, 253 nt
Filed under: uncultured bacterium
Lineage: Bacteria
Description: partial 16S ribosomal RNA
Rfam family: Bacterial small subunit ribosomal RNA
Source: RNAcentral